This 225-nucleotide ribosomal RNA is filed under the name uncultured bacterium. RNAcentral's name for it is "partial 16S ribosomal RNA". It matches the Rfam family "Bacterial small subunit ribosomal RNA", at positions 109 to 334 of the family's 1533-position model. The record is from RNAcentral.
AGUAACGCGUGGGUAACCUGCCUCAUACGAGGGGGAAACGAUUAGAAACGAUUGCUAAUACCGCAUAAGCGCACAGUACCACAUGGUGCAGUGUGAAAAACUCCGGUGGUAUGAGAUGGACCCGCGUCUGAUUAGCUAGUUGGUGAGGUAACGGCCCACCAAGGCAACGAUCAGUAGCCGACCUGAGAGGGUGACCGGCCACAUUGGGACUGAGACACGGCCCAG